GAUACCAAAAUGCUUAAAGUGUUUUUUUUUAAUUAAAAAUUAGACAGCCAUAGUGUCUCUGCCGUCUGAUUAUUGUUCAGUCCCUUUCAAGGAUUUUUUAAAGGAAAAUGUGCCAAGCAAAUUGAGACUAACUUAGCAGGUCCAGAAAGAGUGGACGUCAGAGGGGAAGACUCCAGGAUGCCGAAAAUGUGACAGUGGUUCUCCCAGAGUCUAUCCUCAUCUUUCCUGGGAGCAGGCCCUGACAGUGACCUAACAGCAGAGCCAUCUCACACUCAACCUGCCGCACCAGCCAACCCCCCGACCUUGCAAAUCCAGGGCUCUGCAUUUUGGCAUCUUAAGACAGACAGAAGAUUCUACGAGGAGAAUCCCAGCAAGCCCAGCUCUUGACCAUCUCCAUCUCCUGCAGACCAGGCCCUCCUGCGGCAGUGAGUCCUACUAAACUCAGUCUCCUACCAGAUCCUUCAGCUUCUUCAAAUCCUGGGCCAAAGGCAUGUGUAGCUCUGUGGUGAAAGGCGCCAGGUUCUUCUGCAAGUCAGCCACAGCAUCAGAGUUGGAGAUGCCCUCAGGAGCGGUUCAUCCUUCAGGUGGUUCUAAUUACAAACAGCUGUACUGAGUGUCGCUCCAACAGAAAAGUCCAAAGGAAAGUCCCUUGCAAUACUCCGAAGUCGAGACUCUUCUCACUCUCAGUUUCACAAAUGAUGAUUUUGAAUCCUCCAGAUACAAAGGGCAAGGCCAGCUCCUAACCUGCCCAGUGCUCUGCAAGAGUGUGUUCUACCAUCUGCCAGCUACUCCCUUAUCCGGAUACAAUAUUAGAUAAUGGAGGCAUCCUCAAGAUUCCAGAGCCAGCUCUGCCUCCCC
Molecule: long non-coding RNA, 858 nt
Organism: Bos taurus (domestic cattle)
Lineage: Eukaryota; Metazoa; Chordata; Mammalia; Artiodactyla; Bovidae
Source: Ensembl